RNAcentral lists this ribosomal RNA (442 nucleotides) under uncultured bacterium. RNAcentral's name for it is "partial 16S ribosomal RNA". It matches the Rfam family "Bacterial small subunit ribosomal RNA", at positions 338 to 795 of the family's 1533-position model. The record is from RNAcentral.
CCUACGGGAGGCAGCAGUAGGGAAUCUUUCACAAUGGGCGAAAGCCUGAUGGAGCAACGCCGCGUGCAGGAUGAAGGCCUUCGGGUUGUAAACUGCUUUUAUAAGCGAGAAAUAUGAUGGUAACUUAUGAAUAAGGAUCGGCUAACUACGUGCCAGCAGCCGCGGUCAUACGUAGGAUCCGAGCAUUAUCCGGAGUGACUGGGUGUAAAGAGUUGCGUAUGUGGGAUAAUAAGUAGCUAGUGAAAUCUGGUGGCUCAACCAUUCAGACUAUUAGCUAAACUGUUAAGCUCGAGACCGUUAGGGGUAAGUGGAAUUACUAGUGUAGGAGUGAAAUCCGUAGAUAUUAGAAGGAACACCAAUAGCGUAGGCAGGUUGCUGCGACGGUACUGACACUAAGGCACGAAAGCGUAGGGAGCAAACGGGAUUAGAUACCCCUGUAGUC